This 254-nucleotide ribosomal RNA is filed under the name uncultured bacterium. RNAcentral's name for it is "partial 16S ribosomal RNA". It matches the Rfam family "Bacterial small subunit ribosomal RNA", at positions 524 to 776 of the family's 1533-position model. The record is from RNAcentral.
UACGUAGGGAGCGAGCGUUGUCCGGAUUCAUUGGGCGUAAAGAGCUCGUAGGCGGCUUGGCAAGUCGGGUGUGAAAACUCCAGGCUCAACCUGGAGACGCCACCCGAUACCGCCAUGGCUAGAGUCCGGUAGGGGACCACGGAAUUCCUGGUGUAGCGGUGAAAUGCGCAGAUAUCAGGAGGAACACCGGUGGCGAAGGCGGUGGUCUGGGCCGGAACUGACGCUGAGGAGCGAAAGCGUGGGGAGCGAACAGG